UGCAGUCGAGGGGCAGCAUGGUGUAGCAAUACACUGAUGGCGACCGGCAAACGGGUGCGGAACACGUACGCAACCUUCCCAAAACUGGUGAAUAGCCCUCCGAAAGGAGGAUUAAUACACCGUAACAUAAUGAUGUGGCAUCACAUUAUUAUUAUAGCUCCGGCGGUUUUGGAUGGGCGUGCGACUGAUUAGGUAGUUGGCGGGGUAACGGCCCACCAAGCCCACGAUCAGUAACUGGUGUGAGAGCACGACCAGUCACACGGGCACUGAGACACGGGCCCGACUCCUACGGGAGGCAGCAGUAAGGAAUAUUGGUCAAUGGACGAAAGUCUGAACCAGCCAUGCCGCGUGAAGGAUGAAGGUCCUCUGGAUUGUAAACUUCUUUUAUAUGGGACGAAAAAAGGGAAUUCUUUCUCACUUGACGGUACCAUAGGAAUAAGCACCGGCUAACUCCGUGCCAGCAGCCGCGGUAAAA
This 475-nucleotide ribosomal RNA is filed under the name activated sludge bacterium KA23. RNAcentral describes it as "bacterial SSU rRNA". It matches the Rfam family "Bacterial small subunit ribosomal RNA", at positions 56 to 525 of the family's 1533-position model. The record is from RNAcentral.